UAAGGGAUAUUGGGCAAUGGGCGAAAGCCUGACCCAGCAACGCCGCGUGGAGGAAGACGGCCUUCGGGUUGUAAACUCCUUUUGUCGGGGACGAGACAAGGACGGUACCCGGCGAAGAAGUCACGGCUAACUACGUGCCAGCAGCCGCGGUAAAACGUAGGUGGCAAGCGUUAUCCGGAUUUACUGGGCGUAAAGCGUGUGCAGGCGGAUGGCCAAGUGGUGUAUGAAAGCUCCAGGCUUAACCUGGAGAGGUUAUGCCAGACUGGCCGUCUUGAGGCAGAGAGAGGGACAUGGAAUUCCGGGUGUAGUGGUGAAAUGCGUAGAGAUCCGGAGGAACUCCAGAGGCGAAGGCGGUGUCCUGGCUCUGACCUGACGCUCAGACACGAAAGCAUGGGGAGCGAACGGGAUUAGAAACCCGGGUAG
Molecule: ribosomal RNA, 423 nt
Filed under: uncultured bacterium
Lineage: Bacteria
Description: bacterial SSU rRNA
Rfam family: Bacterial small subunit ribosomal RNA
Source: RNAcentral